ACUCUCCCUCAAGGGCUUCUAACAGUCAUUUAGAAAAUGCAGAUGUAAUUAGAAGCACUUGCAGGGGAGUAU
RNAcentral lists this microRNA precursor (72 nucleotides) under Aquilegia coerulea. RNAcentral describes it as "Aquilegia caerulea miR477b stem-loop (aqc-MIR477b)". Its record names the gene aqc-MIR477b. Lineage: Eukaryota; Viridiplantae; Streptophyta; Magnoliopsida; Ranunculales; Ranunculaceae. The record is from miRBase by way of RNAcentral.